AUGGCCGGAGACCCCUCGCCGCCCGGAUCCCCCGGCAAGCCCCGCCGCCGCCGGGAGCGCGACGACGCCGACCCCGCCCCCGACGCCGACGCCGACGCCGACGCCUCCCCGAAGCGCCGCAGGCACCACCACCACCGCCACCACCGCUCCCACCGCCACCGCCGCCCGGACGACGCCCAGCCCCCUCCGCCGCCCUCAGCGGCCGCCGACGGAGAAGACGUCGAGGAAGGGGAGAUACUAGACGAUGCCGCCGCCGGCGCCAUGGAAGUCGACCCCGCAUCUCCGCGAGCCGACCCGGAGCUAGCCGGCGAUCAUGCUGCCACCAACUCUGCCGUUGAGCCUAGCCGUUGUUCUUCACCCUCAAAAGAUGAAGGCAGGUUGAAUCACACAGCUCGUGGCUCUGAAAGCGGAGGCGUCUUUUCAGGCGACGAGGAUAAUAAUAAUGGUGAAGGACACGGACAGAGUCACAGGGCGUCAAGGUCUCCACGGCCGACAAAGGACAGGGGAAGGAAUCACAAGGACGAGCGUCAAACUCUGUCCUCUAAUAAAGAUUCUCAUCAGAGAGAUCACACCACCAACAGAUCUCCUCCCUCCAGGAACCACGCUCAAGAGGUUCAUUCUAGGAAUCACCCGAGGUCCGGAGAAGCUGAUGCCAAAGCUAAUGGUUCGCGGGCAAGUCCAAGGGCUGACCCUGAUCGUGACAACGACGACAGGAAUGGCUUUGGUAGGCAUGCAACUAGGACACGGGAGGACGAGAGAGAAAGGAGCAGCAGUCGUGUUGUUCGUGACGGACAUAGUGAUAGGCGUGAUAGCCGGGAAAGAUAUAGGGAUGAAACAAGGCACAGCAGCAUAGAUAGAGACAAUGUUGAUCGUAGGCACAGAGAAAGGAGCAGCAGUCAUAGUAGACCUGACAGAAGGGAGAGCGCACGCCACACUCGUGAAGAAAGCAGGGAGAGGGAAAGGCAAAGUGGCAGCUCAAGGCAUAAAGACCAUCAUAAAAGGGAUACAAGCAAGGAUCGUUAUAAAGAUUAUGUCACGGUUGCUACUGGACAUGAAAGGGAUAAAGUGAGAGAUGAUAGAGACAGGGGGCGGCACAGGGAUAGAGAAAGUGAAACUCGUAGAAGUGGAGCUGGAGAAGAACGCAAGGACAGAGUUAGCACUAGUGAUAGGCACAAGGACUCUACACGCUCGAAAUAUAGCACGUCCGAUGCUCAUAAAGACAGGUCAAGAUCUGGGGAGAAAGGCAGAGAUGUAGACAGCAGAAGCGAUCGAUCUAGAGAAAUGAAGGAAAAUUCUUUCAAGGAGGAAGAUGAGGAAGAGUAUCAAGAGAAAAUUGAGCAACAGUUAGCAAUGCAGGAAGAAGAUGACCCUGAAAAAAUUAAGGAGGAAGCGAGGAGGAGGAAAGAAGCUAUUAUGGCGAAAUAUAGGCAGCAACAAGCGCAGAAGCAGCAACCGGAAUCUUUACCUAGAAGCAAUGAUGAAGAAGCAAGAGCAGUGGAUAAAGAUGAGACUGUAGAUAUGAAAGGUGAUAAUGAUAGCAAUUCCACGGACAACGAGGAAGCUGAAAAUAAGCAGGAUUCUUCAGAUGCUUUUGUUGGUGAGGCAGACUUCAGUGUGGGCAAGUCCCCUGCUCAUGAUGCUGUUUUAGCCUGUGCUGAAGCAUUGGGCAAUGAGGGGACAACUGGUGUUUCAGGCCUUGGAGAGGGUACUCCAAAGAGUGAGAGAUCGGCAGAUAUGUUUUGUGAUGACAUAUUUGGAGAGUCACCUGCAGGAUUUCGGAAAUUGGGCAAGGGAGACGGCUUGUGUAUUGAGAAAAAUGCUCUGCAUGAUAAUUGGGAUGAUCCUGAGGGUUACUAUACUCAUCGAUUUGGGGAAUUGUUGGAUGGCCGUUAUGAAAUUACAGCUGCGCAUGGGAAGGGGGUGUUCUCAACAGUCGUGCGGGCAAAGGAUCUUAAAGCUGGGAAAGAUGAUCCUGAUGUAGUGGCUAUUAAAAUUAUUCGCAAGAAUGAGACAAUGUAUAAGGCCGGUAAGCAAGAGGUUUCAAUAUUAGAAAAACUGGCAAGCGCGGAUCGUGAGGACAGGCGCCACUGCGUGCGGUUCAUUUCUAGUUUCAUGUACCGGAACCAUCUUUGCUUAGUUUUUGAAUCUUUAAAUAUGAAUCUCCGUGAGGUACUAAAGAAAUUUGGUCGCAAUAUUGGGCUUAAACUGACUGCUGUGAGGGCAUAUUCAAAGCAGCUUUUCAUCGCCCUGAAGCACCUGAAAAACUGCAAAGUUCUGCACUGUGAUAUAAAGCCAGACAAUAUGCUGGUGAAUGAUGCUAAGAAUGUCCUGAAGCUAUGCGAUUUUGGCAAUGCUAUGCUUGCUGGAAUGAAUGAGGUCACCCCUUAUCUUGUCAGCCGUUUCUAUCGGGCACCUGAGAUCAUUCUCGGGUUGCCCUAUGAUCACCCAUUGGACAUCUGGUCAGUUGGCUGCUGCCUAUAUGAACUUUCUACUGGAAAGGUUCUGUUUCCAGGUGCAACGAAUAACGAUAUGCUUCGUCUUCAUAUGGAACUGAAGGGCCCCUUCCCUAAGAAGAUGCUCCGAAAGGGUGCUUUCACGAUGCAACACUUUGACCAAGAUCUCAAUUUUAAUGCUAUUGAGGAAGAUCCUGUGACCAAAAAGCCUAUGAGGAAGUUGAUUCUAAACAUCAAACCGAAGGAUUUUGGUUCUUUGGUUUCAAAUUUUCCUGGCGAGGACCCAAAAAUGCUCUCCAAUUUUAAAGACCUUCUUGAAAAAAUAUUUGUCUUAGAUCCAGAUAAGAGGAUAACCGUAUCACAGGCACUUAGCCAUCCAUUUAUCACUGGCAAGUGA
Molecule: ribosomal RNA, 2850 nt
Filed under: Triticum aestivum (bread wheat)
Lineage: Eukaryota; Viridiplantae; Streptophyta; Magnoliopsida; Poales; Poaceae
Description: partial small subunit ribosomal RNA
Source: RNAcentral